This 505-nucleotide ribosomal RNA is filed under the name uncultured bacterium. Its description in RNAcentral is "bacterial SSU rRNA". It matches the Rfam family "Bacterial small subunit ribosomal RNA", at positions 28 to 525 of the family's 1533-position model. The record is from RNAcentral.
GACGAACGCUGGCGGCGUGGAUUAGGCAUGCAAGUCGAACGGUAUCAUUCUUUCGGGGGUGAGAGAGUGGCGAACUGGUGAGUAACACGUAGGUUAUCUACCCUCAAGACGGGGACAACCCAGGGAAACUUGGGCUAAUACCGGAUGUGAGCAACUUUUAGUUGUUUGAAAGGUGGCGUAAGCUGUCGCUUGGGGAUGAGCCUGCGUCCUAUUAGUUAGUUGGUGAGGUAACGGCUCACCUAGGCAAUGAUAGGUAGGCGGCCUUAACGGGUGGUCGCCCACACUGGGAUUGAGAUACGGCCCAGACUCCUACGGGAGGCAGCAGUCGAGAAUAGUCUACAAUGGUCGGAAGACUGAUAGUGCGACGCCGCGUGAACGAUGAAUCCCUUCGGGGUGUAAAGUUCUUUUAUAUGUGAGCAGUGCUUCUUAUAUUAACAGUAUGGGGAGAGAGAUAUUAGCAUAUGAAUAAGCAACGGCUAACUCCGUGCCAGCAGCCGCGGUAAUA